Non-coding RNA from Vicia faba (fava bean), 234 nucleotides. NCBI's taxonomy places the organism in Eukaryota, Viridiplantae, Streptophyta, Magnoliopsida, Fabales, Fabaceae. The record is from the annotation of a GenBank genome assembly.
AUGUCAGCUACUACUGGUGCUACUACUCAAACAGAAGAACACGUUUCCUUGAAGCUUCUGUUUAAUGAAAAGGGUAACAAAGUCCUGUUUGCUGAAUCUGGGAAGGACUUUGUAGACAUUCUAUGUAGCUUCUUAACAAUGCCUUUAGGAACAAUCGCAAGACUUGUAGAGAAGCAAUCAAGCAUAGGGCCAGUCACUCUUGGCUGUCUUAACUCACUCUAUCAAAGUGGCUGA